GAUGAACGCUGGCGGCGUGCCUAAUACAUGCAAGUCGAGCGAACAGACGAGGAGCUUGCUCCUCUGACGUUAGCGGCGGACGGGUGAGUAGCACGUGGAUAACCUACCUAUAAGACUGGGAUAACUUCGGGAAACCGGAGCUAAUACCGGAUAAUAUAUUGAACCGCAUGGUUCAAUAGUGAAAGACGGUUUUGCUGUCACUUAUAGAUGGAUCCGCGCCGCAUUAGCCAGUUGGUAAGGUAACGGCUUACCAAGGCAACGAUGCGUAGCCGACCUGAGAGGGUGAUCGGCCACACUGGAACUGAGACACGGUCCAGACUCCUACGGGAGGCAGCAGUAGGGAAUCUUCCGCAAUGGGCGAAAGCCUGACGGAGCAACGCCGCGUGAGUGAUGAAGGUCUUCGGAUCGUAAAACUCUGUUAUUAGGGAAGAACAAAUGUGUAAGUAACUAUGCACGUCUUGACGGUACCUAAUCAGAAAGCCACGGCUAACUACGUG
Molecule: ribosomal RNA, 497 nt
Filed under: uncultured bacterium
Lineage: Bacteria
Description: partial 16S ribosomal RNA
Rfam family: Bacterial small subunit ribosomal RNA
Source: RNAcentral